Molecule: ribosomal RNA, 657 nt
Filed under: Triticum aestivum (bread wheat)
Lineage: Eukaryota; Viridiplantae; Streptophyta; Magnoliopsida; Poales; Poaceae
Description: partial small subunit ribosomal RNA
Source: RNAcentral
AUGCAGAUUAUGCCAGAAUUUGUGAAGACACCUGAAACCAAACUUUUGCAGCAUCUGCAGUCGUCCAAGUAUAGAUUUUCCAAAAACAUACACGGCCGUUCGGUUGCACUAUCUGCAGCCGUCCAAGUACAACCACAAUGGCAGCUGUCGAGCAGACCAAGUGCAGCACCCAUUGCACGGAGAUUCCCGUCAUUGCUGACCCUCCGGCGAACUUCCCUACCACCUCGUCGUGGACCUCUCCCUGCUGGUAACAUGCUCCGGCGAACUUCGCCAGCCUACUUCACCGGCUCCGUCCCCGUACUCGUCGGCUGCGGUGUCGCGCUCCUCUUCCACCGCUCCUCCUCCUCCGGCGCAGCGCCCCUUGCCCACAAGGCCGCCGUGGGCAAGGCCCUCGCUGCCAAGAAGGAGCAUGAGGCCGAACACAACGACGACCGGAGGAAGCAGCGACGAGCGCCGUUGGUGCUGCGGUGGUGGAGCCCUACCAGGAGGAGGCUGAUUGUGGCGGAGCCCCAUAGGGAGGAGGCAGAAGGCGGAAGCAGGCGGGGCAGCAAGGAGGAGGCGGAAGACAGGAGCCCCGCCGUAGGUUGGUGGCGCGCGAAGUGGAGCUCUGGCGGCGGCGCGACACGGGGCUCCGGCGGCGGCGCGAAGUGGAUCUAG